GGGGAUGUACUGGCUUCGACAGGGAUGUCUAAGCAUGAUAAGCGAGUCGUAGUUGCCAAGUCUACGUAAAAAGUGGCGCGUAAAUUCAAACGCUAAAAAUGAAAACAACUUCGCAAUGGCUGCCUAGUGCAGUGGUGCUCCUUAGGAGCGUCGCGACGUCUCUCCACCUUACCUGUAGGGUGGAAUAGAGGCGACGAAAUACAGGGAACCUUCUGUGAGAGUUCUCGGUAUCACAGAUGUAUUACGAGAUAUGAUUGUGGCUGACGUGCUUGUGAAGCAGUCAUGAUAUGAAUAAAUUAGCAUAAGCUACACUCGAAGAAAGUCAUGUGGAUAUGUCUUUGGACGUGGGUUCGACUCCCACCAUCUCCACCA
RNAcentral lists this transfer-messenger RNA (372 nucleotides) under Eubacteriales Family XIII. Incertae Sedis bacterium. It matches the Rfam family "transfer-messenger RNA". From Rfam's summary of the family: Bacterial tmRNA, also known as 10Sa RNA or SsrA, is named for its dual tRNA and mRNA-like properties. Its role is to liberate the mRNA from a stalled ribosome. To accomplish this part of the tmRNA is used as a reading frame that ends in a translation stop signal. The record is from RNAcentral. Lineage: Bacteria; Bacillati; Bacillota; Clostridia; Peptostreptococcales; Anaerovoracaceae.